GUGACGUCACCAAGCGGGGCGGGGCUCAGCGCCGCUUCCCAGCUGUGUGCGUGGGACGUCACGGCUUGGAGGCGGGGUCGCGCGCGUGUCGCUGUUCUCAGUGCUGAUUCCGGUCGCCGCGAGGAACUAGCGCAGCGAGGUAGGGCGCGUGCGGCUCCCGGUGCCUUGCGCCGUCCCUCUUCCGUACGCUCGCUUCGCGAACAGUCAGCAACAAACAGCGACUAAUUACUGAAAAACUUGCGUCCGUGUUCGUCUUAUGAAACACCCGAAAGUACGAGCGCGUGGGAAACACGGGUGCUUGUCUGGCAGCGGGAGACGUACUCUGCUUUUGCCUCUCUGGACCAAAGUUUGUAUGGAGAGCAGAGGUCAAGGACCAGAGUGGAGGAGGGGCCACCUUAUUGGGGUUUCUGCAGAACCCCAUCCUCCCACCCUUGGCCCAGGGGGUGCAGUGGAC
Long non-coding RNA from Scleropages formosus (Asian bonytongue), 454 nucleotides. RefSeq lists it as uncharacterized. The record is from RefSeq and is a predicted model, not a curated record. Lineage: Eukaryota; Metazoa; Chordata; Actinopteri; Osteoglossiformes; Osteoglossidae. The transcript is spliced from 3 exons.